This 64-nucleotide microRNA precursor is filed under the name Equus caballus (horse). RNAcentral describes it as "microRNA eca-mir-330 precursor". Its record names the gene eca-mir-330. It matches the Rfam family "mir-330 microRNA precursor family", at positions 18 to 79 of the family's 94-position model. Lineage: Eukaryota; Metazoa; Chordata; Mammalia; Perissodactyla; Equidae. The record is from miRBase by way of RNAcentral.
UCUCUGGGCCUGUGUCUUAGGCUCUUCAAAGAUCAACCGAGCAAAAGCACACGGCCUGCAGAGA